This 253-nucleotide ribosomal RNA is filed under the name uncultured bacterium. RNAcentral's name for it is "partial 16S ribosomal RNA". It matches the Rfam family "Bacterial small subunit ribosomal RNA", at positions 524 to 776 of the family's 1533-position model. The record is from RNAcentral.
UACGGAGGAUCCAAGCGUUAUCCGGAUUCACUGGGUUUAAAGGGUGCGUAGGCGGACAUGUAAGUCCGUGGUGAAAUCUCUAAGCUUAACUUGGAAACUGCCAUGGAUACUAUAUGUCUUGAAUGUUGUGGAGGUUAGCGGAAUAUGUCAUGUAGCGGUGAAAUGCAUAGAUAUGACAUAGAACACCAAUUGCGAAGGCAGCUGGCUACACAAAUAUUGACGCUGAGGCACGAAAGCGUGGGGAUCAAACAGG